RNAcentral lists this transfer RNA (85 nucleotides) under Felis catus (domestic cat). It matches the Rfam family "tRNA". From Rfam's summary of the family: Transfer RNA (tRNA) molecules are approximately 80 nucleotides in length. RNAcentral also lists the same sequence under 2 other names. The record is from Rfam by way of RNAcentral. Lineage: Eukaryota; Metazoa; Chordata; Mammalia; Carnivora; Felidae.
GCCUGGGUGGCUCAGUUGGUUGAGCAUCUGACUUCGGCUCAGGUCGUGAUCUCACAGUUUGUGGGUUUGAGCCCCGCGUUGGGCU